This 460-nucleotide ribosomal RNA is filed under the name uncultured bacterium. RNAcentral describes it as "partial 16S ribosomal RNA". It matches the Rfam family "Bacterial small subunit ribosomal RNA", at positions 338 to 795 of the family's 1533-position model. The record is from RNAcentral.
CCUACGGGAGGCAGCAGUGAGGAAUAUUGGUCAAUGGACGAGAGUCUGAACCAGCCAAGUAGCGUGAAGGAUGACUGCCCUAUGGGUUGUAAACUUCUUUUAUAUGGGAAUAAAAUGUUCCACGUGUGGGAUUUUGUAUGUACCAUAUGCAUAAGGAUCGGCUAACUCCGUGCCAGCAGCCGCGGUAAUACGGAGGAUCCGAGCGUUAUCCGGAUUUAUUGGGUUUAAAGGGAGCGUAGGUGGAUUGUUAAGUCAGUUGUGAAAGUUUGCGGCUCAACCGUAAAAUUGCAGUUGAAACUGGCAGUCUUGAGUAUAGUAGAGGUGGGCGGAAUUCGUGGUGUAGCGGUGAAAUGCUUAGAUAUCACGAAGAACUCCGAUUGCGAAGGCAGUUCACUGGACUGCAACUGACACUGAGGCUCGAAAGUGUGGGUAUCAAACAGGAUUAGAUACCCGAGUAGUC